This is a non-coding RNA of Callithrix jacchus (white-tufted-ear marmoset), 1009 nucleotides long. The record is from RefSeq and is a predicted model, not a curated record. NCBI's taxonomy places the organism in Eukaryota, Metazoa, Chordata, Mammalia, Primates, Cebidae.
CUGUGAGGGAGCCUUUCUGGACAGUCCUGGUCAUCCGAGGCCAGGAGCUGGGUGCCUUGUGGACUUCUGGCCUCCUCUUCUCCGUGUUGCUGGUGUCCUUCCAAGCAUCUACCUUUCUGCACUGCUGGAAAGGAAGGAGGAUGAAUGCUGGGUGGCCACCCUGCGUGCCAAACUCUUCAUGCCAGGGCUGGUGGGGCUGUGUGCCCUUGGCUUGCUGCAGCAGUGGGGCCAGCUGUGGACCAACUCCCUGAGGAUCCAGUACAGCCUCCUGGGUUCUCAGUGAAUUCAAGAUCUUGAGCUGCCAGGGGCCUGGCCACUCCCACCCUGAGCCCUGCUUUGGCUGAGCUGGUCAUUGCUGCAUGUCCCUGGCUUCUGGCCUGCCUAUCCUCUGCAGUGCACAGGAGCUUUCCCAGUGGGUUCUGAACCUGCUCCUCCUCAGUCCAGCCAGCCAGCCAGUUCAUAGGAAUUGUGUAUAGUUGGUUAAGACAGAGAUCAAGAUGAGACAAACUCAUUCAUGUGGUAAGUAGAUGCUUACCUUUAAUCUCUGUGGUGUCUUGAUUAAAUCACUUGUUUUCUGCUUCUGUUUCUGUGCAUUUGGAAAAGUUCACUGCUUUUUGGUUCCUGUGGGUGAUCUGAGAACACACUUGGGGAUUUGUGAGUUGAUCACACUCUGACCAUUUUCAACAUCAUGAGUUUACCAUGGAGUUUAAGAACAUCUGGGCUUUCUCUGCUGUUUUCUGGGGUUGCCUGUGGAGGAAUAGAGGCUGUUGUGUCUGAUGGCUAUAGCCCUGUCCUGGCAGAACAGUGCUUCUCACUGGCUAUGCCAAGUGUGUUUGGUUUAUGUGGGAUUAGAAUGUGCCGUUGGCUGUACAAUUCAGGGGACAAGUAAUAGUCCUGAGAGUGUAAUGUCAUGUAAAUCUCUCUACUUGGUGUUCUCAUGAUGCUUGCUCUCUGUGUUGUGUAAGACUUAGUGAUCUGUCAUUUGUAUUCUUCAUUUAAUUGUCCUUUU